AAUUAGUUCAACUGUAAGUCGCUCUGGAUAACAGCGUCUGCUAAAUGACGUAAA
Salmo salar (Atlantic salmon) is the source of this 54-nucleotide non-coding RNA. The record is from Rfam. Lineage: Eukaryota; Metazoa; Chordata; Actinopteri; Salmoniformes; Salmonidae.